RNAcentral lists this ribosomal RNA (461 nucleotides) under uncultured Escherichia sp. Its description in RNAcentral is "bacterial SSU rRNA". It matches the Rfam family "Bacterial small subunit ribosomal RNA", at positions 84 to 541 of the family's 1533-position model. Lineage: Bacteria; Pseudomonadati; Pseudomonadota; Gammaproteobacteria; Enterobacterales; Enterobacteriaceae. The record is from RNAcentral.
UUUGCUGACGAGUGGCGGACGGGUGAGUAAUGUCUGGGAAACUGCCUGAUGGAGGGGGAUAACUACUGGAAACGGUAGCUAAUACCGCAUAACGUCGCAAGACCAAAGAGGGGGACCUUCGGGCCUCUUGCCAUCGGAUGUGCCCAGAUGGGAUUAGCUAGUAGGUGGGGUAACGGCUCACCUAGGCGACGAUCCCUAGCUGGUCUGAGAGGAUGACCAGCCACACUGGAACUGAGACACGGUCCAGACUCCUACGGGAGGCAGCAGUGGGGAAUAUUGCACAAUGGGCGCAAGCCUGAUGCAGCCAUGCCGCGUGUAUGAAGAAGGCCUUCGGGUUGUAAAGUACUUUCAGCGGGGAGGAAGGGAGUAAAGUUAAUACCUUUGCUCAUUGACGUUACCCGCAGAAGAAGCACCGGCUAACUCCGUGCCAGCAGCCGCGGUAAUACGGAGGGUGCAAGCGU